Molecule: ribosomal RNA, 460 nt
Filed under: uncultured bacterium
Lineage: Bacteria
Description: partial 16S ribosomal RNA
Rfam family: Bacterial small subunit ribosomal RNA
Source: RNAcentral
CCUACGGGUGGCAGCAGUGAGGAAUAUUGGUCAAUGGACGAGAGUCUGAACCAGCCAAGUAGCGUGAAGGAUGACUGCCCUCUGGGUUGUAAACUUCUUUUAUAAAGGAAUAAAAUGAGGCACGUGAGCCUUUUUGAAUGUACUUUAUGAAUAAGGAUCGGCUAACUCCGUGCCAGCAGCCGCGGUAAUACGGAGGAUCCGAGCGUUAUCCGGAGUUAUUGGGUUUAAAGGGAGCGUAGAUGGGUUGUUAAGUCAGUUGUGAAAGUUUGCGGCUCAACCGUAAAAUUGCAAUUGAUACUGGCAAUCUUGAGUAAGGUUGAGGUAGGCGGAAUUCGUGGUGUAGCGGUGAAAUGCUUAGAUAUCACGAAGAACCCCGAUUGCGAAGGCAGCUUACUAAACUGUGACUGACAUUGAUGCUCGAAAGUGUGGGUAGCAAACAGGAUUAGAUACCCCGGUAGUC